GGGGGAAAAAUUAAUAAAAUUAUAAUUAAUAAAAUAAUUUUUAAAAUAAAAUAUUUAAUGGGGGUUAAAGUAUUUUUUUUAGAAAAAAUUAUAAAGUUUAUAAUUAAUUAGUAUUGUGAAAGAAAUUUGAAAUAAUUAUGAAAAUAAAUUUAUAAAAAAGUAAAUUUUAAUUGUUGUAUCUUGUGUAUCAGAGUUUAUUAAAAAAUGUUUAUAUAAGAAUAAAUUUCUCGAAUUUAAAAGAGUUAAUUAAUUAUAAAAGUUAAUGUUGUAUAAUUAUUUUUAAUAAUUAAUUAGAAAUGAAAUGUUAUUCGUUUUUAAAUAUAUCUAGUUUUUUUAGAAAAAAAUUUAAUUUUAAAUAUUAAAUUAAAAAAUAUUAUUUUAUUUAAUGUUUUUUUUUUAAUAUUAAAUAUUUUAAGGGAUAAGCUUUAAAAUAAAUUUUUAUAAUAUUUUUAUUAAAAUAAAAUUUUUAAAAUUUAUAUUGUUUAAAAAUUAUAAUUUUUUAUAAAUAAUUUUAUUUUAAUUUAAAAUUUAAUUUAAAUAUUUAAUUUUUUUUCAUAAAAUAAAUAAUUUAUAAUAAUUAAAAAUUAGUUAUAAUGAUAAAAUUAGUAUAUAAAUAAAAAUUUAAAUAAUAAUAAUUUAUUAAAAUUUAAUAAAAGGAAUUCGGCAAAUUUUUAUAUUCACUUGUUUAUCAAAAACAUGUCUUUUUGAUAAUAAUUUAAAGUCUAGUCUGCCCACUGAUAAAUUAUUAAAGGGCUGCAGUAUUUUGACUGUACAAAGGUAGCAUAAUCAUUAGUCUCUUAAUUGGUGACUUGUAUGAAAGAUUUCAUGAAAUAUAAACUGUCUCUUAUUAAUUUAUAAAAUUUAAUUUUUUAGUAAAAAAGCUAAAAUAAAUUUAAAAGACGAGAAGACCCUAUAGAGUUUAAUUAUUAAAUUAAUUUUUAUUUUUUAUAAAUUUUUUUUUUUAUUUAAAUUAUAUUAAUUAUUUUAUUGGGGUGAUAGAAAAAUUAAAAUAACUUUUUUUAAAAAAAAUUAACAUAAAUAAAUGAAUAUAUGAUCCGAUUAUAUCGAUUAAAAGAUUAAAUUACCUUAGGGAUAACAGCGUAAUUUUUUUUUUUAGUUCAAAUAAAAAAAAAAGUUUGCGACCUCGAUGUUGGAUUAAGAUAAAAUUUAAAUGCAAAAGUUUAAAAUUUUGAUCUGUUCGAUCAUUAAAAUCUUACAUGAUCUGAGUUCAAACCGGUGUAAGCCAGGUUGGUUUCUAUCUUUAGAAAAGAUUAAUAUUUUA
RNAcentral lists this ribosomal RNA (1282 nucleotides) under Graphium sarpedon nipponus. RNAcentral's name for it is "partial 16S ribosomal RNA". Lineage: Eukaryota; Metazoa; Arthropoda; Insecta; Lepidoptera; Papilionidae. The record is from RNAcentral.